GCGGCUGUAGCUCAGCUGGAUAGAGCAUCUGGCUACGAACCAGGGGGUCGGGGGUUCGAAUCCUCCCAGCCGCGCCA
RNAcentral lists this transfer RNA (77 nucleotides) under Tamilnaduibacter salinus. RNAcentral describes it as "tRNA-Arg". It matches the Rfam family "tRNA". From Rfam's summary of the family: Transfer RNA (tRNA) molecules are approximately 80 nucleotides in length. Their secondary structure includes four short double-helical elements and three loops (D, anti-codon, and T loops). Lineage: Bacteria; Pseudomonadati; Pseudomonadota; Gammaproteobacteria; Pseudomonadales; Marinobacteraceae. The record is from RNAcentral.